UAUUCUGGUUAGUCACAUUGUACUGCUAUUAUUUUGAACAAUACUGUAUAUAUAUAUAUAGCAAUCAUGAUUAUGAUGGUAAAACUAAUUUUAUUGACUUGGAAAUUUCACUGGAAAUAUUUAUUUUUAUAUAAAUAAAGAGCUGUAUUUCUUUAGUCAAUUAUUUAAGUAUUACAUGUUACAUUGUAUUGAUUUUAAGAACAAGUGGAAAAUGUGUUUAAUGUUUCAUUACAUUCUAGUGAAAUUAGCAAGCAGUUUGACUGGACUUACAUUCGUUUUAAACGUGGAGCCAGGCGCGAGUCGACACAGGUUGCGACAUGUGCCAGAUGCGCUCGUGGGAUUUGCGGGGCAAGGCCGUGUGAGAAUAUAACCGAGUGUUACGAAACAGGCUGCGUGAGUGCGGCAAGUGUGAACGGCUCCGGGCGAGUAUGAGAAGCAUUUAGAGACACAGGCUGUGUGUGCGGUCUUCUGAAUGGGGAAUAGCGAACAUGUUCUUGACAUGCAUUGUGACGCAGCUCUAGUAAAUUAUCUUUUUUGUUCGUUGUCUGUCUUUUCAAAGCCUAAAGUUUUUCUUUACUUUUAAUUUGUCUAACUAUUGACCUAAAUGUAGAUGCCAUAAUCCCACUCUGUCUCUGUCCUGCUUUCAGUUUUUUUUUUUUUUUUUAAUGGUGGGCAUUUACACAGUUGGCUAGAGCGGUGCUGAUUGGGGAGAACAGAGCUGCCCUCAAAUCUAUUGGGUAGCAAGAUUGUCACUCAAUGCUGACAGUCAUGCAUAUGCUCUGGAACGGAGUAAUAUCACGUCCACGUCACAGGCUUAAUUAAUAAAUCGCAACGUCUCAAAUAGCUAUUUCAAUUAGAUUUCGAUUAAUCGCACAGCCCUAUUUUAAACUUUACAUUGCAAAUGCUUUGCGCAUACACCGCGUUAGCACUCAUUAGCUUGUCAUUCACUUUUCCACUUGUGCUUCUAUUCGCAUCUACUACCGAUUUUUUUUUUCUCUUGCCUCAUUUCUUUUAUCUCACACGCCAUUGGCAAAAGAGUUUCUUCUGCAGUAAGCCACGUAAUGUCCAAGAGAUUCUCUUGUUGGUCCUGGAAUGAAUGCGACAACCCCUCGCAAAGUGAACAGCUGAUUGUCCAGCUCAAUGUCGACAGGGAUUUCAGGCAGUGGAUGGUUAGUAUCUAAACUUGUUUCAAUACACAGCAGUUGUCGAGGUAUGAAUCUGUGUGUGACCGAGCCAUUGCAGAGGAAUUUCAUUGAUGGAUCAUCCUAAAUUUUCCAGCUAUCUGGACACUCUUGUGGUGAUUUCAGUGGCUUCAGACACUUGGACCUGCAUUUUUGCCCUCCUUCCAUAAGCAUCUUUUCCAACUCCUUUUGUGACUAUGGUCUUCACCAAAUCAAACAUUUCAUUUUUUGUGUGUUCUUUGUUGAGAUAAUGACUGAAAGAUCCACUGUCACAGAAUGCAGAGCAAAGGCACUGGCAAAAGGAAUCAAAGGCACAGGUUUAUGUUACAAUUGAAGAGACAAUUUGCAGAGGGGGUCGGAGUCGAGGAGACGCUUCACACAGAUCUGAAAACAUGGGUUACAGAAAUCUGUGAAGAAAGUAAGAUGAUUGCAGCACAUCAUGGUGACAGAGACAAUCUUCAUUUUCUUCCGGAGCUUGUCCCAAAUAUAAUAAGAAUGGUAAAUGGUAAUCUUCAGUGACACAAGGCAAGACCCCCUCUGCAAAUCGUCUCUACAAUUGUGCUUUGCAUGUUUCUGAGACUACAGGUAAACCUUUGUCAUCGUUUCCUUCUGAUUCACUGAAGGCAAUAACUGCAAUUGAAUUAAUAAGCUCCCUUGCAUCUUCCAGUGUAUCAGACUGUAAAAGUUGUGCCAUGGAUCGUAGAUAAAAUUCUCUAACUGGCCCAUCGGCUAAUGAGCUUGAUACAGUGUGCAACAUCUACUCUGAUGAAGCAGAGUGGUAGCUUUGAGUCUUCGGGCUUCCCUGCCAGCACUCCAAUGCACUGAUUGAUGUAUGUUUUCAAGUCUGGGUAAGGAGUGAAGGCCUUAACCAGUGCUCCAACCAAAGCCAAGGAGAAAUCACAGACUGCUUCUUUGGGCACAGCAGCACCUGCGCGUUUCCAUUCAGUAAGCCAGUUGGCAAUAGAAUUGAUGGUGUGGCUCUCUGAUAGCAUUUGCACUACUGGAAUAUGAUCUCCCUGUGAACACAAAACUCCUUGAUACAGGAAGACAUGUCCAGAAUUGCCACAGGGUCUUCUCAUUCUUUUCACAACUCAACCUGUUGCAUCAAAACUCAUAAAUGAACCAGAGUACUUGGAUUUCAUUUGAUACACUUGCAUCUGAGAUGGGGUCCAGUAAUGGCAAAAAAAAAAACCUAUUAAGGCCUAUGUCAUGAAUGCUUCCAUUGUGGGGUACACUGUAUUUUAGUAGAUGCAAUGACAUGAUUGGUUCUGUGUCUCCUAGCUCUUUGUCACCCAUCUCUUGUUUGCCUUUUCUAAAUGUUGCCAGAUUUGGCAGGUGGCUAGGCUCUGGGUCACCAACAUCCAUCAUUUUGUAAGCCUCAGUUGCUCGCCAUACAUGUGCUGGUUUUCGGCCUUCCCAGAGUUCUUUGGACACACAUGUUCUCAGAUCCCCUGAUAACCUCCAUUUUGCUUUGCCAGUAUGGAGACUGUCAUCAACAUUGCGGAUUAUGCAUUGAAGCACAACUGGUUCAUUAUCCACUGGCAUAUUCUCUGCUGUUAUAGACAAUUGUGCGUCACACUCUGUGCAGUGCCCAAUAACGUCUAUGUAGUGAGAUGCAACAAUUGGAAAGAUUUUUGCCCUCCUAAAUCUAAGAGUGCAUGAGGUCUUGAUAUUUUUCCAUAUCCCCUCAUACAGGACGUUCGUCCAUGCACCACGUUUCUGGAUGGUGUAUUCUCUUUUACAUGUGUUGAGUGAUUUGUCAUUGUAAUCAACUUUUUCAGGCCAGAUUUCUACCCAUUUUUGAUGAGAGAUUGAUCUCAAAUGUAAUGUCGUAGCAUUGACUGCUUUGUGACUGCCUUUGACGCUGCUGAAUGAAAAUCUGCUGAGCUUUCUUGUGAGCUGUUACAGUUUGGACCUUGAUCUUGGGUGUUUGUGUCGAUUCUGCAUAGCUAAAGGAUUUGCCAUAUAUUGUCCCUGUUUGUCUUCACAAUAGUAUAAAGGUUCUUUGGUGAAACUUUGUUAUUUAGUUGUUUGCUUAAAUCUGCCCACACCGUUUCUGUGGGAACUGCGAUGUUUGUUCCUGUAAUAAUCUGUUCCUUUGCAGCACUGAUGACUUCCACAGGCUGGUUUCCUAGGCAUCUGAUCAAAGCAGGAAUUAUUUUUAAUGUAGUUUUAAUAAAGUAGUUGGGCCAAAUGAAUAAGCAUGAAUCGGUUUGAAUAAGCAUGUAACCUGUUGGUAACAAGUAUAUAUAUAAAUUUUAUUACUUUCCUCCAUGGAAUCGAGAUGAGAUUGAGAUGAUCAUGCAAAAUGAUAAGGAGUGAUAUACUUAGUCGCCAUUCACUUAAACUGCAUCUUUUUUUCCAAAUCCGCUCAAGUAAAUGAUGGCUUAAAUAAAAGCAGGCAAUACAACUU
Long non-coding RNA from Carassius auratus (goldfish), 3594 nucleotides. RefSeq lists it as uncharacterized. NCBI's taxonomy places the organism in Eukaryota, Metazoa, Chordata, Actinopteri, Cypriniformes, Cyprinidae. The transcript is spliced from 3 exons. The record is from RefSeq and is a predicted model, not a curated record.